AUGUAAGAAAAGCAGUGCGUGUGUUUGCAUGUGUGUGUAAGGGUUUGCAUUGUGUGUUUCUGUGUAUGUGUGCAAAGGAUGCAUUGUCUGUGUGUAAGGGUUGCAUUGUGUGUGUGUAAUGGAUGCAUUGUGUGUUUCUCUGUGUGUAAGGGAAGCAUGUUGUGUUUCUGUGUGUGUAGGGGUUCAUUGUGUGUUUCUGUGUAUGUAUAGGGAUGCAUUGUGUGUGUG
This is a non-coding RNA of Pelobates cultripes (western spadefoot toad), 228 nucleotides long. NCBI's taxonomy places the organism in Eukaryota, Metazoa, Chordata, Amphibia, Anura, Pelobatidae. The record is from the annotation of a GenBank genome assembly.